UCAUGGUCUUCUGUAAAUCUGCCACGGAAUGAGAAGCUCUCCUACGCGGAUGCCGCUGCAGCCCCGCUGGCCAAAUCCUUGACUUGGCCGACGCUGUUUGCUUUCUUGGCAGGUGUCUGCAGCUCACGUCUGCUGAUUCCAUCAGAGGGGUUGGCGUUAUUGGGAAGCACUCUCUCCCUGCCUCCAUUUCCUGUCCUGUUUAAUCGCUUCCAGGAGGCAUUUUACGCCGAGGCUGUCUUCGAACGAAACGAAGCCCAUCUAAAAAAGAAAAAACACAUAGCAAAACAAAACAAGGGAUGUUAUUCUUCUUUCAGCACAAACAGGGUUCCCGGUACAUGAGCUCUUGGGGAUUUUGCAGAAGUGAUGGGGCUUUCUCCAGAUCGCCUCUUAACCGCUAAGAUCGAGUUUCCCGCCAAGGGGGGUGUGACUGCGCUUCUCCCCCUGCAGAGCAGACCUACGACCAGAGCUCGCAACCGCAUCCAACGACACUUCGUCUCGCUGACCCGGUCACACUCUCCACACGCCCUUCUCGCUUCAUGGCCACACAAGGCCCGGUUGGCAAAGAAAAGGAUAAUAUUUCUUCAGCUGAUACCGCAAGCGGUUUUGAGAUGGCGCGAUUGUGGUAAGAGAAUGAGGUGUGGUAGGUGGAGGUGAUGAUAGGAAGGAGGGACUAACUAGGAAGAAAAGCUGCUGCGGUCACACACAUUUUCUAAGCCUUAUAAUUAAAGUGAGACUUUCUCCGGCAUGUACAGUGGUACAAACUGAUUUGGUUUAAACAGUCAUUCUGACAGGUGAUUUUUGCCUCCACCUAGGCUGUAAAAGACAUGCAUCUUUAAAGCAGUAUUCAUCGAGAGCCAUCCAGUAACACUUGUCAUAGUCAAUGACAGGUGGAGGAAAAGCAAGUAACAAGUGUUCAGCAUAGCAUGUCUCACUUCAUAACCAAACCUACAUCAAAUGACGUCAAUUCCUCUUACUUUAGAUCACCGUAUGAACCAUCAAUGUCACUGAGAUCUCUCCCAGUCCUGCUCCGUAUGGAAUUCUCUUUGCUAGUACCUCUAACAGACAUUUAAUCGUAUCUCACGAUCAAAACUGAGAUUGGCUUUCACAAGAAUGAUGGAUCACUUCUCAAUAACUCACACCUGCAGAGGCCAUUUUCUUGUGCCAUACUGAAACACAAUCGUCAAAUCCAGGAGGGACCCGCAACGUACAGCGGGAGAUACUCCUAAAUAUAUGCUCCUUCGGUCUGUAGCACAACACGUGGUUUUGAUGGGCCGAUUUGAUAUUUCCAGAGCUCCUUCAGUGAUCGUGGCUUCCCUGGCUGGAGGUGAACUUUUGCACGGGUGAUUUAUGCACCUUCUGAACUGUGCAGAGUUGGUGGAGGUCUCCUAUGUCAUCGUAGCCUGAGGCCUCAGGCACUUCCUGUUUAAGAUGACUUACAGUUCUCUGUCAGUCCUCUGGGCCCAUUUUAUUGCUGCCCAGCCCCUCGCAGGAGCAGCACCGGGUCUGUGCUGUCACUAUGACAUCAUCAGCACACAGGAAGUGUGCUCAUUCCUUACUCAUCAAAUACAAAGAUCGGCCGUACUUGAGGAGUGACAUCAUGGCAUCAAGUUCUCUGACUCUUCACACACAUACAGUAUUUCUUAUAUUAUUUUUAGAUAUUAACAACACAAAGAACUGCCAGAGGAAGCUUUUCCCACUGAAAUGCCAUUUUCUAUGGCUUUUACAUACUGUUUUCUCUGUGGUUGCCAUCCACAUCCAAAAAACAUCAGCGUUCUGUUUGUGGUUCUUGCUAAAUCAACUAAAACACACUCCCUCUCCAUUUAAUCUCACUCCCUUUCCACAAACUCUUUACAUGCAAAUUUCAUUUUCAAAUAAGGCUCCUUUUUUACUUCUGAAAUAUCCAUCAAACAACAGCAUGAAACAUGAAAUAUUGAGUCUUUCUAUAAAUGUGCUGGUGGCUUCACGCUUUGAUGAAGUGACUGUAAUUGAUCGCCCUUUACACGAGACGUCCGUCAUUUGGCUGCACCAGUGGUUGGUUAGUGGAGGUGUUGGGAGCGUGGAUCUGUUAUCGUAGGGCUGAUGUAUGGAUGGCAGUCUAACACAAAGCUCUCCAUGGGAAAUCUCAGACAAUGAUCGCAGCCUUGCAUCUUAGAAGAAAGUCACUCUCCCACUCACACAGACAAGUGGAUACUCAUUGAGCAACAAUCGGAGGGUCAUGGUUCUGCUGAGAAGUGCUCAUUCAGGGCUGUGGAGUCUGGAAGCGGCGUGUGUCUGGUCUCAUGGACUGAGAGAUAGACGGAGCUCUGAUACUCCCACACGUUUUGGAGAUAGCAGGCAGAUUUCCUGUUCAUGAGAAGAAGCUUUGAUACAAGCUCUGCUGCACAAUGGCAUCAAAGGCUCAGUGAAGACCCACAAGAUAAAGAUACAGGACUUCAAAUGACU
This is a long non-coding RNA of Cyprinus carpio carpio, 2442 nucleotides long. The record is from Ensembl. Lineage: Eukaryota; Metazoa; Chordata; Actinopteri; Cypriniformes; Cyprinidae.